AGAGUUUGAUUCUGGCUCAGGACGAACGCUGGCGGCGUGCUUAACACAUGCAAGUCGAGCGGAAAGGCCCUUCGGGGUACUCGAGCGGCGAACGGGUGAGUAACACGUGAGUAAUCUGCCCCUAGCUCUGGGAUAGCUCCGGGAAACCGGGAUUAAUACCGGAUAUGACCACUACGGACAUCUGUUUUGGUGGAAAGAAUUUCGGCUAGGGAUGAGCUCGCGGCCUAUCAGCUUGUUGGUGGGGUAACGGCCUACCAAGGCGACGACGGGUAGCCGGCCUGAGAGGGCGACCGGCCACACUGGGACUGAGACACGGCCCAGACUCCUACGGGAGGCAGCAGUGGGGAAUAUUGCGCAAUGGGCGAAAGCCUGACGCAGCGACGCCGCGUGGGGGAUGAAGGCCUUCGGGUUGUAAACCCCUUUCAGUUGGGACGAAGCUUCGCCGGUGAAUAGCCGGCUGGAGUGACGGUACCUUCACAAGAAGCCCCGGCUAACUACGUGCCAGCAGCCGCGGUAAUACGUAGAGGGGCUCAAGCGUUGUCGGAUUCAUUGGGCGUAAAGGGUGCUGUAGGCGGCGCGGUAAGUCGGUGUGAAAGCUCGGGAGGCUAAACCCCGAAGCGUCAGCGAUACUGGCGUGCUUGAGUACGGAAGAGGUAGACUGGAAUUACGGUGUAGCGGUGAAAUGCGUAGAUAUCAGGAGGAACACCUGAGGCGAAGGCAGGGCUACUGGGCGAUUACUGACGCUGAUGUGCGAAAGCAGGGGAGCGAACAGGGAUUAGAUACCCCGGUAGUCCAUGGCCGUAAACGAUGGCACUAGGUGUGGGGGACAUUCCACGUUUUCCGCGCCGUAGCUAACGCAUUAAGUGCCCCGCCUGGGGAGUACGGCCGCAAGGCUAAAACUCAAAGGAAUUGACGGGGACCCGCACAAGCGGUGGAUGAUGUGGAUUAAUUCGAUGCAACGCGAAGAACCUUACCUACCCUUGACAUGUACGGAAGCCCGGUGAGAGCCGGGUGUGCCCGAAAGGGAGCCGUAACACAGGUGCUGCAUGGCUGUCGUCAGCUCGUGUCGUGAGAUGUUGGGUUAAGUCCCGCAACGAGCGCAACCCUUGUCUCCAGUUGCUACGCAAGGGCACUCUGGAGAGACUGCCGGUGACAAACCGGAGGAAGGUGGGGAUGACGUCAAGUCCUCAUGGCCCUUAUGGGUAGGGCCUCACACGUCAUACAAUGGCCGGUACAGAGGGUUGCCAAGGCGCGAGCUGGAGCCAAUCCCAGAAAGCCGGUCGUAGUCCGGAUUGCAGUCUGCAACUCGACUGCAUGAAGUCGGAAUCGCUAGUAAUCGCGGAUCAGCAUGUCGCGGUGAAUACGUUCCCGGGUCUUGUACACACCGCCCGUCACACCAUGGGAGUGGGUUCUACCAGAAGUAGGUAGGCUAACCGCAAGGAGGCCGCUUACCACGGUAGGAUUCAUGACUGGGGUGAAGUCGUAACAAGGUAGCC
Molecule: ribosomal RNA, 1496 nt
Filed under: uncultured bacterium
Lineage: Bacteria
Description: bacterial SSU rRNA
Rfam family: Bacterial small subunit ribosomal RNA
Source: RNAcentral